UACGGGGGGGGCAAGCGUUGUUCGGAAUUACUGGGCGUAAAGGGCGCGUAGGCGGCCUGUUAAGUCACACGUGAAAUCCCUCGGCUCAACCGAGGAACUGCGUCCGAUACUGGUGGGCUUGAAUCCGGGAGAGGGAUGUGGAAUUCCAGGUGUAGCGGUGAAAUGCGCAGAUAUCAGGAGGAACACCCGUAGCGAAGGCGGCACUCUGGGCCGAUACUGACACUGAGGAGCGAAAGCGUGGGGAGCGAACGGG
This 253-nucleotide ribosomal RNA is filed under the name uncultured bacterium. RNAcentral's name for it is "partial 16S ribosomal RNA". It matches the Rfam family "Bacterial small subunit ribosomal RNA", at positions 524 to 776 of the family's 1533-position model. The record is from RNAcentral.